Molecule: transfer RNA, 32 nt
Filed under: Juniperus osteosperma
Lineage: Eukaryota; Viridiplantae; Streptophyta; Pinopsida; Cupressales; Cupressaceae
Also listed under: 1 other name
Description: partial tRNA-Ser
Source: RNAcentral
UCCACCGCUUUAGUCCGCUCAGCCAUCUCUCC